CCUACGGGCGGCAGCAGUGAGGAAUAUUGGUCAAUGGCCGGAAUGCUGAACCAGCCAUGCCGCGUGAAGGUCAGUGCCCUAUGGGCGUUAAACUUCUUUUGUGCGGGAGCAAUAAUGGUCACGUGUGGCCAGACGAGAGUACCGUACGAAUAAGCAUCGGCUAACUCCGUGCCAGCAGCCGCGGUAAUACGGGGGAUGCAAGCGUUAUCCGGAUUUAUUGGGUUUAAAGGGUGCGUAGGCUGGGAGGUAAGUCAGCGGUGAAAUGCCCCCGCUCAACGGGGUGAAGUGCCAUUGAUACUGCCUUGCUGGAAUGCGGAUGCCGUGGGAGGAAUGUGUGGUGUAGCGGGGAAAUGCAUAGAGAUCACACAGAACACCGAUUGCGAAGGCAUCUCACGAAUCCGCGAUUGACGCUGAUGCACGAAAGCGUGGGUAUCAAACAGGAUUAGAUACCCGAGUAGUC
Molecule: ribosomal RNA, 460 nt
Filed under: uncultured bacterium
Lineage: Bacteria
Description: partial 16S ribosomal RNA
Rfam family: Bacterial small subunit ribosomal RNA
Source: RNAcentral